UGGGGAAUCUUGCACAAUGGGGGCAACCCUGAUGCAGCGACGCCGCGUGAUCGAUGAAGCCCUUCGGGGCGUAAAGCUCUUUCGACCGGAACGAUAAUGACGGUACCGGGAGAAGAAGCUGCGGCUAACUACGUGCCAGCAGCCGCGGUAAUACGUAGGCAGCAAGCGUUGUUCGGAGUUACUGGGCGUAAAGAGUGCGUAGGCGGUUUUCUAAGUUCGGUGUGAAAUCUCCCGGCUUAACUGGGAGGGUGCGCCGAAGACUGGGAAGCUGGAGUGUGGGAAAGGCAGGCGGAAUUCCUGGUGUAGCGGUGAAAUGCGCAGAUAUCAGGAGGAACACCGGCGGUGUAGACGGCUUGCUAGACCAUAACUGACGCUGAGGCACGAAAGCGUGGGUAGCAAACA
Molecule: ribosomal RNA, 402 nt
Filed under: uncultured bacterium
Lineage: Bacteria
Description: bacterial SSU rRNA
Rfam family: Bacterial small subunit ribosomal RNA
Source: RNAcentral